GCAAAGAAAAGCGUCUGGACUUCUUUAAGUUGCUUGAAGAUGUUUCACCUCUCAUCCGAGCAUUAUUAUUAUUAUUAUUAUUAUUAUUAUUAUUAUUAUUAUUAUUAUUAUUGGUGGUGGUGGUGCUUUUGCUGUUUUAUUUGUACAUUUUUGUAUUUUUAUUCUAUAUAAUAAUGUUUUGGGUCUGAAACUCUACUAGUGGCAAAGUGCAUGCCAUCAUUAUCACUUUCUACUUCCUAAGAGCUUCAAACUCGAUGACCCAGAGUUGGACCAUUUCCAAAAAGGGAUCAUCCGAUUCUAACCGCCUGUCGCAGAGCUUGAUUCUUGAGUGUGUGGUGAUCAGACGGUCCACACUGUUAGAAGAAUGAUACACCAGAAGGCAUUUCUUUUGUUCGAUGAUCAUUCUCACACUGUUGAUAAGCCUUUUUAGUGUGUUAUAUUAAAUGCAAUGUUGUUAUCCAGAGUGUUGCUAAAUCUGUGUGGAAAUAUCAGUGUGAGCAACAGAAAAUGCCAGGCUGGUCAGUGCCAGUAUUCUAAGUAACACAGUUUGAUGAAAGAAAAAGUUAUGUCUUGUGCCUUUGUGCUAAUUGAUGUUAUUUGGAGUUCGCUGGAUAAGUGGCCAGGAAAAUUGAUACAUUGAGGAGUUGAACACUUGCUUACCAGCAUAGCUGGACUGGCCAUCGGGCAUUUGCCCGGUGGGCUGCUGGCGAUUUUUUGUUUUUAUGGGCCGAUCGAUUUUUUUUUUUUGGAAGGGUAUAAAUAAUGAAAGGUUUGGCCAAUUGGUCAUGAUCGACUCUGGGCUGGACCAAUUACAGCCGAGGAGGUCGGAUGCACCCUCCCCCUUGUUUAGCAAUCUUAUAGACGAACUAAAGAAAAUGGAGAACAAAAAAAGGAAAGGAGGUGCAGAAAAAAUUAGGGCCAAAAAGAAACAAGCCCUUCAGGCAGACGCUGCCAAAUGUGUAAAAAUAACUGAAUUGUUUGGCGGUAGCUAUGGCAUAGCUUCCACAGAUUUAGCAACAUCAGCAAGUGGUGGAGGCCAGCAGGUGGAUAAGGGAAAGGGGAGGCAAGAGGAGGAGAGACCCGAGGCGGCCGCCGGUCAUAGUGGCAGAGGAACUGAACUUCAGGCCUUUUGCCCACAACCGAGAUGACAGACCUUGCCGACC
Molecule: long non-coding RNA, 1163 nt
Organism: Astatotilapia calliptera (eastern happy)
Lineage: Eukaryota; Metazoa; Chordata; Actinopteri; Cichliformes; Cichlidae
Source: Ensembl